GGGGAUGACAGGUUUCGACAGAGUGUGUGUCGGGACUGGUUGCACUUCGAGUUUCCGCCCGGAUGGACUCGUUAAAGAAGUCUGGGUAAACAAUAGAUGCAAACGAUAACUCGUACGCAAUGGCCGCCUAACUUAGCACACCGCUAAUUUAGUGUCAUCACACGCAGGGCGAGCCGCCUACUGUAAGUCCUGCCUUGUGUCAUAACCGGCGCUUGAGCGCUUCGGCGUUCGCGCCAGUAGGAUUCACUUUGUUUGUGCUCAACGGAUGAAGUGAAUACGCAGUUGAGCUAAGGCUAGGAACCCCGCCGGACGGGUAACCGAGCACGAAAAUCAAGAACCGGAGAUAAGUGUGGUAGCCUUUCCUUCCAGCAUUUUGGACGCGGGUUCGAGUCCCGCCAUCUCCACCA
This 407-nucleotide transfer-messenger RNA is filed under the name Chlorobiales bacterium. It matches the Rfam family "transfer-messenger RNA". Rfam says of the family: Bacterial tmRNA, also known as 10Sa RNA or SsrA, is named for its dual tRNA and mRNA-like properties. RNAcentral also lists the same sequence under 1 other name. Lineage: Bacteria; Pseudomonadati; Chlorobiota; Chlorobiia; Chlorobiales. The record is from Rfam by way of RNAcentral.